This 26-nucleotide non-coding RNA is filed under the name Cricetulus griseus (Chinese hamster). Lineage: Eukaryota; Metazoa; Chordata; Mammalia; Rodentia; Cricetidae. The record is from RNAcentral.
ACAGAGCUCACGGCCGGAUUAACCCA